RNAcentral lists this ribosomal RNA (270 nucleotides) under Triticum aestivum (bread wheat). Its description in RNAcentral is "partial small subunit ribosomal RNA". Lineage: Eukaryota; Viridiplantae; Streptophyta; Magnoliopsida; Poales; Poaceae. The record is from RNAcentral.
AUGCAUCACAUCUCUACGGCGGCUUGGCAAACAGUGACUUCGGUGAGAGCAUGGUGGAACAACAACCUUCAGAUUCGGCUUGGAUCCCCUAAAGCGCUCGCCUCCCUGAUGAUGCUCAUCUCAUGGGAGAUAUGGACGGAGCGUAAUGCCAGGGUCUUCAGAAACACGGCCAUCCCUUCCACGGUUCUUAUCAGUAAGAUCAAAGCGGAGGUGUCUCUUUGGGCGUUGGCGGGUGCGAAGCACAUGAGUGUUGUAAUGCCGCGAGAGUAG